GGCAAAGAUCGUGUGAGUGUGCA
RNAcentral lists this small RNA (23 nucleotides) under Arabidopsis thaliana (thale cress). Lineage: Eukaryota; Viridiplantae; Streptophyta; Magnoliopsida; Brassicales; Brassicaceae. The record is from RNAcentral.